This 2128-nucleotide long non-coding RNA is filed under the name Salvia miltiorrhiza (redroot sage). RNAcentral's name for it is "long non-coding RNA (SMIL_LNC006070)". Lineage: Eukaryota; Viridiplantae; Streptophyta; Magnoliopsida; Lamiales; Lamiaceae. The record is from RNAcentral.
GGCAAUUCUUGACUUCCUCAACGAGACUCUUGUGCAAGGUCAAUUCCUCUGCAUCCAUUUAGAUUUGUCCACUUGGAGAAUUUGGAGGUCAAGAGCUUCGCGUUGAGUCCGACUGAAAAUCUUGAUGCCUUUUGCGAUAUCCAUUGUAGCGUAGUACUUUCCUUUCCCCUUGCGUCGNCCGUACUACUAUAUAUAUAUAUAUAUAUAUAUAUAUAUAUAUAUAUAUUAAUUAUUUUAAUAUAUAUAUUUUUUAACGGAAAUUCACCGGAAACACUGUUUUGGGGAAGCCCUUCACCACCACUACCACCACCACCCACGGCGGCGGAACAAUGGUGCCACCUUCCAAAGCUUGCGCCCCUCCAUUUCUUUUCUUUCUUCCUCUCUCCCGCACUACGUUUUCUCCCUCCUCAUCCUCCACCUCCGCCUCUCUCAUCGACGCCGCAACCCCCUCUAUCCCCUUCUCCACCUCGUCCAAUCCCUAGCCUCCAGCCUCCGCCGCAAAUUCACAUUCCCCUUCUCUACCUCUCCAUGCUCUUCCUCGGCGCCAUCAUCUCCCCUUCCAAUCCCCUCUCUUCCUACUCCGACAUCUCCCACCAGAUCCACCUCACCAGACCGGCAAUCGCCUUCGUCACAUCCGCAACCGUCUCCAGGCUGCUGCCGCUGCCCCAGGGGACGGUGGUGCUCGACUCUCCUAAGUUCGAAUCCCUCCUGUUUCCCUGCGGCGCCGAAUUCGAUCCGCCGGAGGUGUUCUAGGACGACACGAUGGCGAUUCUCUAUUCCUCGAGCACUACGGGGAGGGUGAAGGGGGUGUUUCUGGCGAAAAUUAACGGUGUUGAAAAAAAAAGUUAACGGUGUUAAACGAUCGUUAAGUCGGAGGGCCUGAUUGUUCAAAAUUAAGGACUUCAGGGGUUUAGUUGGCCCAACUUCGACUAUAAGGAGCUAAACGUGAUAAGGGCCACUAUGAUAGGGGCUUAUUUGAUACUUAACCCUUGAAUAAAUGAAUCAUAGUUAAUAACCAUAAAAUUAAAUUAAAGAAUACAAAAUUAAAAUUGGAGAAAAAAAUAUUUUAAAAAAUUAUUAAAAAAAAUAAAAGUGGGCUAAAAAAAUGAAGCGCCAAUUAUGGUACACUAAAAUCUCAAGUGUAAUUCAAGAGUCAAGUCAGAAGACUCAUGACCAAAAUUGAUACUAAAAUAAUUAUUGUGAAAAUUGUUUAAAUACAAAUAAAAUAUGUUCGUACUUGUUUUUCAAGCGGAGAUCGAGCUUGAUAAUUUGCAAACAUGUUGGAAUUUGAGCCUACUAUAGCCUCUUUAGAGCAUCCACGCCCCAAGAGCUCCUUUGAGGGCUCUAAUAAGGUGGACUCCAUUUAAAAGGCCAUGCAUCUUUCACAUUGGAGACCUCUAAAAUUGGCUCUAAAAAAUUCAUUUAUAUUUCUUCAGUUUAAAUGAAUUUCAAAUAUGAAGAAAUAUUGUCUUUUGAAAAAUAUUUCUUACAAUAAUUGAAACUAGAUUUAAAUUACAAUUUAAAAAAAUAGUUUCAUCCUCGGCAAUUCUUGACUUCCUCAACGAGACUCUUGUGCAAGGUCAAUUCCUCUGCAUCCAUUUAGAUUUGUCCACUUGGAGAAUUUGGAGGUCAAGAGCUUCGCGUUGAGUCCGACUGAAAAUCUUGAUGCCUUUUGCGAUAUCCAUUGUAGCGUAGUACUUUUCCUUUUCCCCUUGCGUCGAGGACUCAACAUUCUUGCAUUUCCCCUUAUCUUCUUGGUCGCCUUUUGGUUUAUAGGUCUCACAGUGUGAUACUCGAGUCGGAGGAUGUUGUUGUGUACCCCAUCGAAACCUUUUGAAUGCUUCGAAGAGUGGAUGUCCUUGCCGCUCGAUGCGAAACGUUGAAAUUGACAAAAAACUCACCAAAUUUGAAAAUAUUUGAAUGGAGCCCCAUUGUUAGCUUGAUAGCGUUCGUGAGCUUGUUGAGUGAUUUGAAUCUACGCUACAUCAUAAUCUUGAACGAAAUGAGUGCCGUUCAAGUUGAUGACUUCAAGACCCGCAUUGAAGGUGUUCGAGCCUUGGACCGAGGAAUUUUGUUGGUUGCUACACCAAUUGUUGAAGUCACCCUCCAUUUCUUUAAGAAAAAUUAG